Molecule: ribosomal RNA, 324 nt
Filed under: uncultured eukaryote
Lineage: Eukaryota
Description: partial 18S ribosomal RNA
Rfam family: Eukaryotic small subunit ribosomal RNA
Source: RNAcentral
CCCUUAGAUGUUCUGGGCUGCACGCGCGCUACACUGAUUGACUCAACGAGUACUGUUUCUUGCCUGGCAAGGUUCGGCAACCUCUGAAUACUCAUCGUGAUGGGGCUAGGUCCUUGCAAUUCUGGAUCUUCAACGAGGAAUUCCUAGUACGUAUGGGUCAACAGCUCAUGCUGACUACGUCCCUGCCCUUUGUACACACCGCCCGUCGCUCCUACCGAUUGAGUGAUCCGGUAAAUUGUUCAGACUGCUGCUGUCUCCAGCUUCUGGAGUGGUGGUGGAAAGUUUUGUGAACCUUACCACUUAGAGGAAGGAGAANUCGUANCA